UACGGAGGGUGCGAGCGUUGUCCGGAAUCACUGGGCGUAAAGGGCGCGUAGGCGGCCUGGUAAGUCGGGGGUGAAAUCCUGCGGCUUAACCGCAGGGCUGCCUUCUAAACUGUCGGGCUAGAGCACGGUAGAGGCAGAUGGAAUUCCCGGUGUAGCGGUGGAAUGCGUAGAGAUCGGGAAGAACAUCAGUGGCGAAGGCGGCCUGCUGGGCCGGGGCUGACGCUGAGGCGCGACAGCGUGGGGAGCAAACGGG
RNAcentral lists this ribosomal RNA (253 nucleotides) under uncultured bacterium. RNAcentral describes it as "partial 16S ribosomal RNA". It matches the Rfam family "Bacterial small subunit ribosomal RNA", at positions 524 to 776 of the family's 1533-position model. The record is from RNAcentral.